This 328-nucleotide ribosomal RNA is filed under the name Escherichia coli 1-250-04_S4_C2. RNAcentral describes it as "bacterial SSU rRNA". It matches the Rfam family "Bacterial small subunit ribosomal RNA", at positions 1200 to 1527 of the family's 1533-position model. The record is from RNAcentral. Lineage: Bacteria; Pseudomonadati; Pseudomonadota; Gammaproteobacteria; Enterobacterales; Enterobacteriaceae.
CCUUACGACCAGGGCUACACACGUGCUACAAUGGCGCAUACAAAGAGAAGCGACCUCGCGAGAGCAAGCGGACCUCAUAAAGUGCGUCGUAGUCCGGAUUGGAGUCUGCAACUCGACUCCAUGAAGUCGGAAUCGCUAGUAAUCGUGGAUCAGAAUGCCACGGUGAAUACGUUCCCGGGCCUUGUACACACCGCCCGUCACACCAUGGGAGUGGGUUGCAAAAGAAGUAGGUAGCUUAACCUUCGGGAGGGCGCUUACCACUUUGUGAUUCAUGACUGGGGUGAAGUCGUAACAAGGUAACCGUAGGGGAACCUGCGGUUGGAUCACC